Molecule: ribosomal RNA, 507 nt
Filed under: uncultured Steroidobacter sp.
Lineage: Bacteria; Pseudomonadati; Pseudomonadota; Gammaproteobacteria; Steroidobacterales; Steroidobacteraceae
Description: bacterial SSU rRNA
Rfam family: Bacterial small subunit ribosomal RNA
Source: RNAcentral
AGAGUUUGAUCUGGCUCAGAUUGAACGGCUGGCGGCGUGCCUAACACAUGCAAGUCGAGCGGUAGCAGGUGUAGCAAUACAUGCUGACGAGCGGCGGACGGGUGAGUAACGCUUGGGAAUCUGCCUGUUAUGGGGGACAACCAACCGAAAGGUUGGCUAAUACCGCAUACGCACUAAGGUGGAAAGCCGGGGACCGCAAGGCCUGGCGCUAACAGAUGAGCCCAAGUCGGAUUAGCUAGUUGGUAGGGGGUAAUGGCCUACCAAGGCGACGAUCCGUAACUGGUCUGAGAGGACGACCAGUCACACCGGAACUGAGACACGGUCCGGACUCCUACGGGAGGCAGCAGUGGGGAAUAUUGGACAAUGGGGGAAACCCUGAUCCAGCGACGCCGCGUGGGUGAAGAAGGCCUGCGGGUUGUAAAGCCCUUUCGGUUGGGAAGAAAAGUUGCGACCUAACACGUCGCGACCUUGACGUAACCAACUAAAGAAGCACCGGCUAACUCUGUG